AUUGAACGCUGGCGGAAUGCUUUACACAUGCAAGUCGGGCGGCAGCAUGGACUUCGGUCUGAUGGCGAGCGGCGAACGGGUGAGUAAUGCAUCGGAACGUACCUAGUUGUGGGGAUGAGCUCGGCGAAAGCCGGAUUAAUACCGCAUACGUCCUACGGGAGAAAGCAGGGGAUCGCAAGACCUUGCGCAAUUGGAGCGGCCGAUGUCUGAUUAGCUAGUUGGUGGGGUAAAGGCCUACCAAGGCUUCGAUCAGUAGCGGGUCUGAGAGGAAGAUCCGCCACACUGGGACUGAGACACGGCCCAGACUCCUACGGGAGGCAGCAGUGGGGAAUUUUGGACAAUGGCGCAAGCCUGAUCCAGCCAUUCCGCGUGAGUGAAGAAGGCCUUCGGUUGUAAAGCUCUUUCAGCAGGAACGAAACGGUCCGCUCUAACAUAGCGGGCUACUGACGGUACCUGAAGAAGAAGCACCGGCUAACUACGUGCCAGCAGCCGCGGUAAUACGUAGGGUGCGAGCGUUAAUCGGAAUUACUGGGCGUAAAGCGUGCGCAGGCGGCUUUUUAAGCCAGAUGUGAAAUCCCCGGCUUAACCUGGAACUGCAUUGGACUGAGGCUAGAGUGCGGCAGAGGGGGGUAGAAUUCCACGUGUAGCAGUGAAAUGCGUAGAGAUGUGGAGGAAUACCGAU
Molecule: ribosomal RNA, 682 nt
Filed under: uncultured bacterium
Lineage: Bacteria
Description: bacterial SSU rRNA
Rfam family: Bacterial small subunit ribosomal RNA
Source: RNAcentral